AUUGAACGCUGGCGGCAGGCCUAACACAUGCAAGUCGAACGGUAACAGGAAGAAGCUUGCUUCUUUGCUGACGAGUGGCGGACGGGUGAGUAAUGUAUGGGGAUCUGCCCGAUGGAGGGGGAUAACUACUGGAAACGGUAGCUAAUACCGCAUAAUGUCGCAAGACCAAAGAGGGGGACCUUAGGGCCUCUUACCAUCGGAUGAACCCAUAUGGGAUUAGCUAGUAGGUGGGGUAAUGGCUCACCUAGGCGACGAUCUCUAGCUGGUCUGAGAGGAUGACCAGCCACACUGGAACUGAGACACGGUCCAGACUCCUACGGGAGGCAGCAGUGGGGAAUAUUGCACAAUGGGGGCAACCCUGAUGCAGCCAUGCCGCGUGUGUGAAGAAGGCCUUAGGGUUGUAAAGCACUUUCAGUCGGGAGGAAGGGGCUGAGUUUAAUAGACUUGGUCAUUGACGUUACUGACAGAAGAAGCACCGGCUAACUCCGUGCCAGCAGCCGCGGUAAAAC
Molecule: ribosomal RNA, 509 nt
Filed under: uncultured bacterium
Lineage: Bacteria
Description: bacterial SSU rRNA
Rfam family: Bacterial small subunit ribosomal RNA
Source: RNAcentral